Molecule: non-coding RNA, 2171 nt
Organism: Microcebus murinus (gray mouse lemur)
Lineage: Eukaryota; Metazoa; Chordata; Mammalia; Primates; Cheirogaleidae
Source: RefSeq, a predicted model, not a curated record
AAGACACUCAAACUUUGGAACCAAAAAUAUCAAAGUUUUCAUCCCAGAUCUUCCAUUUACUCCCCCACAGAUCCAGAGAACCAGGUUGGAUCGAAUUUGAUUCUGGAGAGAUGUUCAUGCAGUGAACUUGCAUCUAGAGCCCAGUGGGCCGGAAUCUGACAAGAUUUCCUUUCCUGCUACACAAAGGACAGAGAGAUUGCUGAGUUGAGCCCUGAAAACAAGGACUUUGUUUUAUAUGGUUACCACAUGGUCCCUUCCUCUCUCUUUGGAAUUUGACAAGCAAAUUGGCAUUUGUGUUGCUGAGACUGUCAUAGAAUAGUGAUUGUUAAUUAUACCCUAGAUGUCCUGCCUCAUUCUGCCAUGGAUGUAUUGUGCUAAAUGUGUGCAGUGAGCAAAAGAUCUUAAAUUUGAUUUCAAGUUGCAUAUCUCAGCAUGCUGCCGGACCCGCCUCCGGUCAGAGAGCACCUUAAGGGGCCUUUUGAGAGUCCUCCUGCUCCCAAAUCCCUGGUUCUAACUUAGAUCAGGAAGUAUUCAAAGGAUCCAGCAGAUGUCAGUAUGAAAUCUUGAGUUUCUCCAGGUUGGGUAUUAACAGAUCAAACUGCAUCACCCACUGCCCUGUCUCUCAGCUGGAUAUAGGAGGAGCAUUAGAUUCAGAGACAAUAUCUUCUGUAAAGAUCUACUCCUCUAAUUGUUUAAAUUCUGACCUUACAUCGCAACCUCAAAGCUGGAUUAGUGAUGCAGUCACAAUUAUAAAGAAACUUCAAGAGAAGAGACAAGUGAAUAAGGUGGCUGUUUCUAAAAAUAAGUCCGUCUAUGCCAGCUAUCUGCUUUCCCCUGUGCAACUGGUCUGUAUUGAUUCUCAGUGUCUGCAGUCUCCGACCCAGCAGGCUUUUCCUUCAUAACCGAAGAUGGGCAGGGCUUUCGAUCAAUGACAACUUUGGAAUCAACAACCAGAGACAGCACUGCUAUGCUGGUCUUAGGCCUCAGCAGUCUCCAUCGUUAAGGAAGUUUCUGGCAGCAAGAGGAGAGCCACUCAACUUUUGGAAAAUAUCACUAAACAACAAAGAGGAGGAAGGAAGAGAAGGAAAGAAGAAAAGGAAGACAUUUGAAUUGAUGAAUUAGUUUUGAAAUUCAAGUUUGGUUUGAGAGGGCUCUAGGAUGACAGCUAAAUGUCCCAAGCUAAAAAGGUAGACACCUAGGAGGAAAGCAGAGGCCGGAGACCAGGUGUGUGACCCCCUCCUGGCUUUCUCCUAGACUGGCCUUUGGGAAGGAGAUCGAGCCCACUGUCCUAUGAUCAUGAGUCACAGUGAGCAGCCAGCCUUGCAAAGCAUGUUCACAAUUAACCAGGAAGCUGCAGAAAGGCUGCCAGACCCUCCUGCAACUGAACAGCUGCAGCCUCAUCUGCUCGUUGGGGGUCUCCCCUGUCCAGGAUUUUAGCCAUAGGCUGAGCUGAGAUUCAGCAAAAUGAAGGAAAUCUCCAUCUUAAAGAUGGAAGAUACGUCAUGCCUGAGGUGGGCUCAUGUGGCCAACCAAGGGGAGGAGAGGAGGGUUCAGCAGUGUAUCCAAGUGCCCCACAGGGCUGUCAAACUCAGGUGCCAAGAGACAGACAAGGAAGUGGCCAUCCUGAGCUAAUUCACAGAGAAAAUGAAAACAACCACUGGUCACUUGACUCAGCUCCCAGCAUGCAUGAAGUGACGGGGAACCUUCCUGAGGAGCGAUCCUGAAGAAAGAGAUGUUGACGGAAUUGCCCAGGGCCACUCUCUUCCUCUCUGAUGGUGUGACAUCCGAAUAUGAGCGCCUUCUGCUUUGUCAUACCUCCACCUUUAUUACUCUCUUAAGGACCCCAAUUGGACAGCUCCAUGUCACUCCCAAACACUGUGCCCUUGAAGAAACUGCUUGGAAAAUCAAAUGGGAUUUGUCUUCUGGAGGUGAGAAAUGAGGUUGGAUAUGGAAUAUUAAGGAAAGACCUCCACUUUCCUUGCCUACUACUGGGGCCUUUAAAACAUCUUGGGCAAAAUUUGGAAAUUCUCUCUGAGGAUGUCCAUACAAAAGUGUCAACCUGAGAUGAGGCAGUGAAUGUCCUCAGAUGGGUCACGUGAUGCAUUUCUCAAGCCAAAUCAUUUCAAUGGAACGCCCCAGAUAGACUUUUAAAUUGAGAAGUACUUUAGAUG